UGCCGCGUGUAUGAAGAAGGNCUUCGGGUUGUAAAGUACUUUCAGUGGUGAGGAAGGGAGUGUGGUUAAUAGCCAUAUUCUUUGACGUUAGCCACAGAAGAAGCACCGGCUAACUCCGUGCCAGCAGCCGCGGUAAUACGGAGGGUGCGAGCGUUAAUCGGAAUUACUGGGCGUAAAGCGCAUGCAGGUGGUUUGUUAAGUCAGAUGUGAAAGCCCGGGGCUCAACCUCGGAGUUGCAUUUGAAACUGGCAGGCUAGAGUACUGUAGAGGGGGGUAGAAUUUCAGGUGUAGCGGUGAAAUGCGUAGAGAUCUGAAGGAAUACCGGUGGCGAAGGCGGCCCCCUGGACAGAUACUGACACUCAGAUGCGAAAGCGUGGGGAGCAAACAGGAUUAGAUACCCUGGUAGUCCACGCUGUAAACGAUGUCUACUUGGAGGUUGUGGCCUUGAGCCGUGGCUUUCGGAGCUAACGCGUUAAGUAGACCGCCUGGGGAGUACGGUCGCAAGAUUAAAACUCAAAUGAAUUGACGGGGGCCCGCACAAGCGGUGGAGCAUGUGGUUUAAUUCGAUGCAACGCGAAGAACCUUACCUACUCUUGACAUCCAGAGAAUCCUGCGGAGACGCGGGAGUGCCUUCGGGAGCUCUGAGACAGGUGCUGCAUGGCUGUCGUCAGCUCGUGUUGUGAAAUGUUGGGUUAAGUCCCGCAACGAGCGCAACCCUUAUCCUUGUUUGCCAGCACGUAAU
Molecule: ribosomal RNA, 742 nt
Filed under: Vibrio sp. LC05R9
Lineage: Bacteria; Pseudomonadati; Pseudomonadota; Gammaproteobacteria; Vibrionales; Vibrionaceae
Description: bacterial SSU rRNA
Rfam family: Bacterial small subunit ribosomal RNA
Source: RNAcentral